AUUCAAUAAUAAAAUCGAAUAUUUUUACGGACAAUCCAUACCACAAUAUCGUAAAGAUAUAUAAAGAAGAGACUUUACCAGACGACAAAAAUACUCUUCAAAAUAAAUCUGAUGAUUUUUUUGAUUAUCAAAAGAAAUACUACAAAUAUCUAAAGGAUUAUAUAGAUACAAUAAGGAAUGCCGCACCACAAUUGGCCAUAAAAGAAUGGUGUAAAAUACAACAUGAUCCCACCGACGAGUUUCUAAAUCAAUAUUAAGGCGUAGAAAAAUAAUAAUCUUUAAUUUAAAUAAUUGCCUUUCAUUGUAUUUUAAAUUAUAUAACAUUAAGAAGAGACUAGUGAAUUCAAUCCUAGUGUGUAUUAAGUAUGCUUCAAGUGUACUAAAUGAUUACCGAUAAAUUAUAUAUUUAGUAUGAGUAUUCAAUUCAAAUAUAUAACAUUUAGAAUAGUAAUUAAACAACAUUUAUUAACAUUAGUUUAUUA
This is a long non-coding RNA of Rhopalosiphum padi (bird cherry-oat aphid), 482 nucleotides long. RefSeq lists it as uncharacterized. NCBI's taxonomy places the organism in Eukaryota, Metazoa, Arthropoda, Insecta, Hemiptera, Aphididae. The record is from RefSeq and is a predicted model, not a curated record. The transcript is spliced from 6 exons.